GGAUAUUGGUCAUCUUUAUAGUGAUGUGGUAUAUCUAGAGCUAUUUAAAAGUUGCUAAACACUGAGUGUUUAGUUGCACUUAAAGGGACACUCCAAGCACCAAAACCCCUGCAGCACACUUUUUGCCCUUGUGUCACCCAUUGUAAUUAGUGAAAACAAAUUGGUGCUCUCUGCCAAUGAGCUAGCCCUGCACUGCAGGUCUUAGUUCAGGAGAUCUAGCAAAAGCUCAUUGUUGUU
Molecule: non-coding RNA, 237 nt
Organism: Pelobates cultripes (western spadefoot toad)
Lineage: Eukaryota; Metazoa; Chordata; Amphibia; Anura; Pelobatidae
Source: the annotation of a GenBank genome assembly